This 660-nucleotide long non-coding RNA is filed under the name Elaeis guineensis (African oil palm). Its description in RNAcentral is "long non-coding RNA (EGUI_LNC031020)". The record is from RNAcentral. Lineage: Eukaryota; Viridiplantae; Streptophyta; Magnoliopsida; Arecales; Arecaceae.
CCUCAAGAUUGAAAUUUUUGGGAGUUACUUUGGUAACUUCCCAUAAUUGCAACAUGCUGAAAACUACCUUAAGAUGGCAAAACAAUAUAGUUUUGAUGGCUAUCUCUCACUCUCUAACAAAAGCAUUGAAAAACUCCCUCAAAACAAAACACUCAUCUUGGAAGCAUUUAGGUUGUGGAAAUCAAGUGCAUUCCAUCUUGUGAUUGUAGUUCUUACCCAUAAGUUAUAGUUUGAUCAUGAUCCAGCUUGUGAGAAGAAAAUUCAGUUCAAUUUCAAUGCAAGAUAAUUCGAAACUCGUAGAUUCUUAUGUUCAGUUCGGUUUCGAUGCAAGGUAAUCCAAAUCUACAAGUUUUGGAUUAUCUUGCAUUGAAACCGAACUGAAUUUUCUUCCGACAAGCCAGAUCGCAAUCAAACCACCACUCGUAGAUCCGAAGUACAAUCACAAGAUGAAAUGUACUUGAUUUCCACAACCCUAAUGCCUCCAAGAUGAAUGUUUUGUUUUGAGAGUCUUUUCAAUACUUUUGUUAGAGAGUGAGAGAGAGCCAUCAAAACUAUAUUUCUCUGUCAUCUCAAGACAGUUUUCAGCAUGUUGCAAUUAUGAAAAAUUAUCAAAGUAACUUUUAAAAACUGCAUUUAAAAACCAACAUCUCUCACUCACAC